Molecule: ribosomal RNA, 492 nt
Filed under: uncultured bacterium
Lineage: Bacteria
Description: partial 16S ribosomal RNA
Rfam family: Bacterial small subunit ribosomal RNA
Source: RNAcentral
AUUGAACGCUGGCGGCAUGCUUUACACAUGCAAGUCGAACGGUAACAGGCCUUCGGGUGCUGACGAGUGGCGAACGGGUGAGUAAUGCAUCGGAACGUACCCAGAGGUGGGGGAUAACGCAGCGAAAGCUGUGCUAAUACCGCAUGUGAUCUGAGGAUGAAAGCGGGGGACCGAGCAGCAAUGUUUGGCCUCGCGCCUUUGGAGCGGCCGAUGUCGGAUUAGCUAGAUGGUGGGGUAAAGGCCUACCAAGGCGACGAUCCGUAGCUGGUCUGAGAGGACGACCAGCCACACUGGGACUGAGACACGGCCCAGACUCCUACGGGAGGCAGCAGUGGGGAAUUUUGGACAAUGGGCGCAAGCCUGAUCCAGCAAUGCCGCGUGCGGGAAGAAGGCCUUCGGGUUGUAAACCGCUUUUGGCAGGAACGAAACGGUGUCCGCUAAUACCGGGCGCUAAUGACGGUACCUGCAGAAUAAGCACCGGCUAACUACGUG